Molecule: ribosomal RNA, 594 nt
Filed under: uncultured Bacteroidota bacterium
Lineage: Bacteria; Pseudomonadati; Bacteroidota
Description: bacterial SSU rRNA
Rfam family: Bacterial small subunit ribosomal RNA
Source: RNAcentral
CAACCUGCCGAUGACUCGGGGAUAGCCUUUCGAAAGAAAGAUUAAUACCCGAUGGCAUAGUUCUUCCGCAUGGUAGAACUAUUAAAGAAUUUCGGUCAUCGAUGGGGAUGCGUUCCAUUAGGUUGUUGGCGGGGCAACGGCCCACCAAGCCUUCGAUGGAUAGGGGUUCUGAGAGGAAGGUCCCCCACAUUGGAACUGAGACACGGUCCAAACUCCUACGGGAGGCAGCAGUGAGGAAUAUUGGUCAAUGGACGAGAGUCUGAACCAGCCAAGUAGCGUGAAGGAUGACUGCCCUAUGGGUUGUAAACUUCUUUUAUACGGGAAUAAAGUGAGGCACGUGUGCCUUUUUGUAUGUACCGUAUGAAUAAGGAUCGGCUAACUCCGUGCCAGCAGCCGCGGUAAUACGGAGGAUCCGAGCGUUAUCCGGAUUUAUUGGGUUUAAAGGGGGCGUAGGCGGACGCUUAAGUCAGUUGUGAAAGUUUGCGGCUCAACCGUAAAAUUGCAGUUGAUACUGGGUGUCUUGAGUACAGUAGAGGCAGGCGGAAUUCGUGGUGUAGCGGUGAAAUGCUUAGAUAUCACGAAGAACUCCGAUUG